RNAcentral lists this ribosomal RNA (920 nucleotides) under uncultured bacterium. RNAcentral's name for it is "bacterial SSU rRNA". It matches the Rfam family "Bacterial small subunit ribosomal RNA", at positions 33 to 944 of the family's 1533-position model. The record is from RNAcentral.
ACGCUAGCUACAGGCUUAACACAUGCAAGUCGAGGGGAAACGGCAUUAAGUGCUUGCACUUUUUGGACGUCGACCGGCGCACGGGUGAGUAACGCGUAUCCAACCUUCCCAUGACUAAGGGAUAACCUGCCGAAAGGCAGACUAAUACCUUAUGGUCUUCACUGACGGCAUCAGAUGUGAAGUAAAGAUUUAUCGGUUAUGGAUGGGGAUGCGUCUGAUUAGUUAGUUGGCGGGGUAACGGCCCACCAAGGCAACGAUCAGUAGGGGUUCUGAGAGGAAGGUCCUCCACAUUGGAACUGAGACACGGUCCAAACUCCUACGGGAGGCAGCAGUGAGGAAUAUUGGUCAAUGGGCGAGAGCCUGAACCAGCCAAGUAGCGUGCAGGAUGACGGCCCUAUGGGUUGUAAACUGCUUUUGUAUGGGGAUAAAGUCAAUCACGUGUAAUUGUUUGCAGGUACCAUACGAAUAAGGACCGGCUAAUUCCGUGCCAGCAGCCGCGGUAAUACGGAAGGUCCGGGCGUUAUCCGGAUUUAUUGGGUUUAAAGGGAGCGUAGGCUGGAGAUUAAGUGUGUUGUGAAAUGUAGACGCUCAACGUCUGACUUGCAGCGCAUACUGGUUUCCUUGAGUACGCACAACGUUGGCGGAAUUCGUCGUGUAGCGGUGAAAUGCUUAGAUAUGACGAAGAACUCCGAUUGCGAAGGCAGCUGACGGGAGCGCAACUGACGCUGAAGCUCGAAGGUGCGGGUAUCGAACAGGAUUAGAUACCCUGGUAGUCCGCACAGUAAACGAUGGAUGCCCGCUGUUGGUACUUGGUAUCAGCGGCUAAGCGAAAGCAUUAAGCAUCCCACCUGGGGAGUACGCCGGCAACGGUGAAACUCAAAGGAAUUGACGGGGGCCCGCACAAGCGGAGGAACAUGUGG